RNAcentral lists this ribosomal RNA (270 nucleotides) under uncultured archaeon. Its description in RNAcentral is "partial 16S ribosomal RNA". It matches the Rfam family "Archaeal small subunit ribosomal RNA", at positions 477 to 747 of the family's 1478-position model. The record is from RNAcentral.
CAGCUCUCCGAGUGGUAGGGAUGAUUAUUGGGCUUAAAGCGUCCGUAGCCUGCUUAGCAAGUCUCCUGUUAAAUUCAGCGACCUAAUCGUUGAGCCGCGGGAGAUACUACUAGGCUAGGAGGCGGGAGAGGUCGACGGUACUUCUGGGGUAGGGGUGAAAUCCUAUAAUCCCGGGAGGACCACCAGUGGCGAAGGCUGUCGACUAGAACGCGCUCGACGGUGAGGGACGAAAGCUGGGGGAGCGAACCGGAUUAGAUACCCGAGUAGUCC